GAAGAGUAUUGUGAUCGUGGAAGUUCGCUUUUAGCCACUCAGAGCUCUGCUUCCUGGCUGUAUUCUUUAAGAGGCCAUUGUGAAAUUAAAUUGUAAGCAGACGGGAUUGGCUGUAGUUAUUACUUACCAGGGUAGAUUUUCUUGAGGAAUCCUAAAGCCAUAGAGUUAAUUGUCAUUCGCAGCACAUUGUUUAUUUCAUCUGACCUCAGUCUGGGGCUGCGUUUCUUAAGCUUUGGGCGGUGGUGAAGGUAACUGUGGUCCAUGUUGCUCCUCGCUGAUGCUCCCAGUCACCUCGGAUGAUGCUGUCCUAGCGCCUGGACGUGUGUGCUUGCUGUGAUGUCCUUGAAAAUCCGGCUCUGAACCGUCAGCUAACUUUUAACAUCUUCAAAACUGUUGUGAUAACUGAUGGGAUUUUGCUUUACGAAUUGUUGCAAUACAUUGACCCUUAGGAAUAACAUUUUUG
Molecule: long non-coding RNA, 463 nt
Filed under: Bos taurus (domestic cattle)
Lineage: Eukaryota; Metazoa; Chordata; Mammalia; Artiodactyla; Bovidae
Description: long non-coding RNA NONBTAT004820
Source: RNAcentral